GCUUAGCUAUGCAGCUAUGGAGGAGAAACAGGGACCUGUCCUCAGUGGCUUUGUGGGUGGCCAGUAUCGGGGAUGGGCUGGGGUGGAUGUCCUCAAACAAACACAGAACAUUUCUCUCGCCUCUUUAUUCCUGAUGCACUUUUGUCCCCUCUUUGUCCAAGGUUCUCAUCACAUUCUGAUAUCCCCACUCCUUGAUGGUUUCCCCGAGUUGCUGGGUGCCUCUUGAUGAAGGCGCCUAGGAGACAGAGCUUCACACUUGUCCUUGCCCACUGCCAACCGUCUCUGACGGGCAUCAAAAACCACAUGCCCUGCCUGGGUGCCUGGUCCAGGGCAGUGGGACUUCCAGUUGAUAUGGGUAGGCAUAGACAUCUGACGAUAGUUCUGGUAGCCUGAAGGAACUGUAUCCACAGGGCGGUACGCCCCGUGCUGGCUGCCUGCCCGCCAGGAGGAUGACUGCAGCUCAAUUAAUACAGGUACCUCUGAGAAGGUCUGCAGGUCAUUGGAGACCACUUGGGCCUUGGAAGGGCAGGAGUUCUCAUUGAGUUGGACACGAGCCCAGAGGACGUGCCGCUGUGCGUCCUCCUUCUGAGCAGCCUUCUCAGGCACAGAUGACUUCAUCAGGGACAGUGUGGACUUUGGGGUCUGAAGCAGGGACAAAAGCUGGACAAAAUCAGAACCUAGGGCAGGGCUUGGGUUCUUGUAGAGGCUGGGAUCUGGGAUGAGGCAUGAGCUCUUGUAGGGGCCAGAUUCCUGGGUAAGGCCUGAAAUCUUGGGGAGGCCAGAGUCUUGGACAAGGGCUGGGUCUUUAUGGGGGCCAGGAUCUUGAUUAAUUCCUGGGCACUUGUGGAGAUUAGAGUCUUGGCUAUGUUCUGAGCUCCUGUAAACUCCAACAUCUUGGGGAAGGCUAAAUCUUCUUUCAACUUUAGUGGCUUGGGUAAGGCUUGGGAGGUUGGAAUCUUGAGUAAGGCCUUUAACUUUGUGGCCACCACAAUCUUGGAUAAGUCCUGGAUUCUUGUAGUCUCCUGAGUUUUGGGUAAGGCCUGAGCACUUUGGGAGGCCAGAGGUUUGGACAAGGCCUGGGCUCUUGUGGAGAAAAGAUUCCUGGAUAACUCCUGAGCUCUUAUUGACUUCAGAGUCUUGGGGAACAUACGGACCCUUCUGUGAUCCAGAAUCUUCAGUAAGGCCUGCGGUACUACAGACUCCUGGAUCUUGGACAUUGCCUGUAUUCUUGUGACCUCCAGAAUCUUUAGAAGAGCCUAGGUUCUUUUGGUGGUCAGUUGCUUGGGAGAGAUCUUGAUUUUUGUAGAUCACAGUCUCUUGGUUUGGUUCAAGAUUCCUAUAGAUUCCAGAGUCUUGUGUAAAGCCUGAGCUCCUCUGAAGAUCAGAAGUUUGGGUAAAUGGUGUUUUCUUGUGGAGGCCAGGGGAUUGGGUGAGACAUGGGCUCCUAAGGAUACCAGCUUCUUGAGUCAGACCUGUGUUCUUUUGGGGGUGGGAAUCUUGAGUAAUGCCUGAAUUCUUGUGAAGACCAAAGUCUUGAGAAGGGCUUGGAUUCUGGCAGAGAUAAGAAUCUUGGGGAAGGCCUGGGAACUCAUGUAGGCCUUGAUUUGGAGCAAGACCUGGGUUCUCGUGGAGGCCUGGAUCUUGGGUAAGGCCUGGGUUCUUGUAGAGGUCUGGGUUUUGGGCAAGGUCCAGAUUCCUGGGAACUCUGGAGUCUUUUGAAGGGCCUGGGGUCCUUUGAAGGCCAGAAUCUUGGGUAAGGCCUAGACUCUCAUGACAUUCAGGGCAUUGGGGUUGGAUCAGGGGUUGGGAAAUGGUGGCGAACAGGGAAGGGAUGGGGAAUUGGGAAGUGAGGAUGGACUGAGGAGACUUGGAGGUUGGAAGAACAGUAGGGGUUUGUAUUAAGGUGGAAGGCCUCUGAUGGUUGGUGGGUUGAGGAGGGACAAAGGAUCUGGGAGGAACGAGAGGCAGGGAAAGAGUGAACGGUGGAGGAAGGGUGCACACUGAGCUCUGGGCAGUGGUUGCAGAAUGAAAGCAAGUCUUGGCACAUGCAGUAUCCCGGGAGUAGGCAAGGAAUUUGGGGUAGAAUGGAGCCUGGGAGUCUGUGUUCUUCUCAGAACUGCAAGGAUGGAAGCUGCAGUAAGGGGAAGUCUUGGUCUGGGGGAACUUAUCUUUGGCAUCAUCUGAGUUCUUCCAUUCCAUAUUCCUCAACUCCAGGUAGCCCAGUAUGGAUCCUGCAGGAAGCUUGGCACUAUCCCCACUGCAUUGCUUUGUUUGCUCAGAUAUGCCAGAACUCACCAGGUCCUGACCCUCUUGGGGCCUGAAGAGGGUAGCCAAGUCUUUUCUUGAAUACUCAGGGUUCUGGGGGCUGGACAUAUGGAAGAAAUUCUGCUUUUCCCUGCGGGCAUCAUAGACCACAUGGCCAGUGGAGAGGUCAUGGCUGAAGGCAGGUGGGGUAGAGGGUAUAGGAGUUAUGAUAGGGGCAGGGGUGGUGGCAGGGACAGGAUCAGGGACAGGAGUGGUAGUCAGGGCCAUGACCAGUGCUGGAGCAGGGCUGGGGGCAGAGGCUGGGACAGGGGCUGGUGUUGGAGCUAGGACAGGAGUAGUGGCUGGGGCAAGAGUUCCGGGAGGAGCUGGGGCAGAGGUUGGGACAGGAACGGAGCUGCGGACUAGAUGAGAGUGGUCUGGGAUAUACGCUGGGGCAUGGGCUGAGGUGUACUCAGGGGCAUGGGCCUGGGGGUGGGCUGGGACAGGCAUAGGAGCCUGGGCUGGGGAGUGGGCUGAGGUGUGUUCAGGGCUGUGGGCCUGGGAGUGAGUAUACUCAGGGGUGUGGGGCGGAGAGUGGGUUUGGGCCUGGGCUGACGUAUGGGCUUUAGUGUGAGCUGAGGCCUUGGCCGGUGUAGGGGCUGGGGUGUGAGCUUGGAUGUGGGCUGGCGUCUGAGCUGGGGUAGGGGCUGAGGUGUGGGCUUGGGCCUGGGCUGAGGUGUCCUGGGCCUGGGAGUGGGUGCCCUCAGGGGUGCGGGCUUUGGAGUGGGUCCAGGAGUGGGCAGGGGUGUGCACAGCGGUGUGGUCCGUGGAGCGGGUCCAGGGGUGGGUUGGGGUGCACACAGGAGUGUGGGUUGGGGAGUGGACCUGGGCCUGAGCUGGGGCCUCGGCUGGGGCACAGUCUGGGGUCUUAGUCUUGCUCUCUUGGGGCAGGUGGCAUGGACCCGUGUCCAACUUGCUCAUCUUUGGGAACUGGGAAGAUGUCUCUGGCCUGGAGAGCAAGGAGGCUUGAGCCUUUGAGGCUGUGACCUGAGGGGCUUCUCCCCCGCCCAUCAUCCCCGCCUUGUACAGUCCCCGUGCAGACUCCCUGGGAACGCCGGCAUGUCCACAUUUAGGGGGCACGCAGCAGCACGCAGAAACCUUCUCAUCGUUCGUGUCUGGUAUCCAGGAGUCAAGGUGGUUAACGCGCCUGAGCAGGAAGCCUGGGCGAGGAUGGACGCGGGAAGAGACUUUUGAGCACAGGUUCUUGGGAUCCACGGAGGAGCAAAUACAUAUGGGAUGGCUGCCGCUGGGCUGCUUGUCUGCAGGGAGAGUUCUGCGGCCGCUGCUGGUGGUUGCAGCAGCGACGGCGACAACGGCG
Molecule: long non-coding RNA, 3622 nt
Filed under: Homo sapiens (human)
Lineage: Eukaryota; Metazoa; Chordata; Mammalia; Primates; Hominidae
Description: HSALNT0388302
Source: RNAcentral